AAGCCAGACUCCUACGGGAGGCAGCAGUGGGGAAUGUUGCACAAUGGGGGAAACCCUGAUGCAGCGACGCCGCGUGAGUGAAGAAGUAUUUCGGUAUGUAAAGCUCUAUCAGCAGGGAAGAAAAUGACGGUACCUGACUAAGAAGCCCCGGCUAACUACGUGCCAGCAGCCGCGGUAAUACGUAGGGGGCAAGCGUUGUCCGGAUUUACUGGGUGUAAAGGGAGCGUAGACGGCAUGGCAAGUCAGAUGUGAAAGCCCGGGGCUCAACCCCGGGACUGCAUUUGAAACUGUCAGGCUGGAGUGCAGGAGAGGUAAGUGGAAUUCCUAGUGUAGCGGUGAAAUGCGUAGAUAUUAGGAGGAACACCAGUGGCGAAGGCGGCUUACUGGACUGUAACUGACGUUGAGGCUCGAAAGCGUGGGGAGCAAACAGGAUUAGAUACCCGAGUA
RNAcentral lists this ribosomal RNA (447 nucleotides) under uncultured bacterium. RNAcentral's name for it is "bacterial SSU rRNA". It matches the Rfam family "Bacterial small subunit ribosomal RNA", at positions 328 to 792 of the family's 1533-position model. The record is from RNAcentral.